CGGGCGCCUGCUAUACAUGCAGUCGAGCGGACAGAUGGGAGCUUGCUCCGUGAUGUUAGCGGCGGACGGCUGAGUAACACGUGGGUAACGUGCCUGUAAGACUGGGAUAACUCCGGGUUACCGGGGCUAAUUCCGGAUGCUUGUUUGAACCGCAUGGUUCUAACAUAAAAGGUGGCUUCGGCUACCACUUACAGAUGGACCCGCGGCGCUUUAGCUAGUUGCUGAGGUAACGGCUCACCAAGGCAACGAUGCGUAGCCGACCUGAGAGGGUGAUCGGCCUCACUGGGACUGAGAGUCGGCCCAGACUCCUACGGGAGGCAGCAGUAGGGAAUCUUCCGCAAUGGACGUAAGUCUGACGGAGCAACGCCGCGUGAGUGAUGAAGGAUUUCGGAUCGUAAAGGUCUGUUGUAAGGGAAGAAC
RNAcentral lists this ribosomal RNA (420 nucleotides) under Bacillus subtilis. RNAcentral's name for it is "bacterial SSU rRNA". It matches the Rfam family "Bacterial small subunit ribosomal RNA", at positions 36 to 450 of the family's 1533-position model. The record is from RNAcentral. Lineage: Bacteria; Bacillati; Bacillota; Bacilli; Caryophanales; Bacillaceae.